This 329-nucleotide unclassified non-coding RNA is filed under the name soil metagenome. RNAcentral's name for it is "partial contains 5.8S ribosomal RNA, internal transcribed spacer 2, and large subunit ribosomal RNA". The stretch from base 2 to 120 matches the Rfam family "5.8S ribosomal RNA", at positions 36 to 154 of the family's 154-position model. The record is from RNAcentral.
AAUGAAGAACGUAGCGAAAUGCGAUAAGUAAUGUGAAUUGCAGAAUUCAGUGAAUCAUCGAAUCUUUGAACGCACAUUGCGCCCUCUGGUAUUCCGGGGGGCAUGCCUGUUCGAGCGUCAUUAUAACCACUCAAGCUCUCGCUUGGUAUUGGGGUUCGCGGUUUCGCGGCCCCUAAAAUCAGUGGCGGUGCCUGUCGGCUCUACGCGUAGUAAUACUUCUCGCGAUUGAGUUCGAUAGGUCUACUUGCCAGUAACCCCCAAUUUUUACAGGUUGACCUCGGAUCAGGUAGGGAUACCCGCUGAACUUAAGCAUAUCAAUAAGCGGAGGA